Molecule: ribosomal RNA, 649 nt
Filed under: uncultured bacterium
Lineage: Bacteria
Description: bacterial SSU rRNA
Rfam family: Bacterial small subunit ribosomal RNA
Source: RNAcentral
GAGUUUGAUCAUGGCUCAGAGCGAACGCUGGCGGCAGGCCUAUCACAUGCAAGUCGAGCGCCCGUAGCAAUACGGGAGCGGCAGACGGGAGAGUAACACGUGGGAACGCGCCCUUCGGUUCGGAAUAACUCAGGGAAACUUGAGCUAAUACCGGAUACGCCCUUACGGGGAAAGAUUUAUUGCCGAAGGAACGGCCCGCGUCCGAUUAGCUUGUUGGUGAGGUAAUGGCUCACCAAGGCGACGAUCGGUAGCUGGUCUGAGAGGAUGACCAGCCUCACUGGGACUGAGACACGGCCCAGACUCCUACGGGAGGCAGCAGUGGGGAAUAUUGGACAAUGGGCGCAAGCCUGAUCCAGCCAUGCCGCGUGGGUGAUGAAGGCCCUAGGGUUGUAAAGCCCUUUCGGCGGGGAAGAUAAUGACGGUACCCGCAGAAGAAGCCCCGGCUAACUUCGUGCCAGCAGCCGCGGUAAUACGAAGGGGGCUAGCGUUGCUCGGAAUUACUGGGCGUAAAGCGCACGUAGGCGGCUUGUUAAGUCGGGGGUGAAAUCCUGGAGCUCAACUCCAGAACUGCCUUCGAUACUGGCGAGCUCGAGUUCGGGAGAGGUGAGUGGAACUGCGAGUGUAGAGGUGAAAUUCGUAGAUAUUCGCA